This 683-nucleotide ribosomal RNA is filed under the name Escherichia coli. Its description in RNAcentral is "partial 23S ribosomal RNA". It matches the Rfam family "Bacterial large subunit ribosomal RNA", at positions 1 to 717 of the family's 2925-position model. The record is from RNAcentral. Lineage: Bacteria; Pseudomonadati; Pseudomonadota; Gammaproteobacteria; Enterobacterales; Enterobacteriaceae.
GGGUUGUGAGGUUAAGCGACUAAGCGUACACGGUGGAUGCCCUGGCAGUCAGAGGCGAUGAAGGACGUGCUAAUCUGCGAUAAGCGUCGGUAAGGUGAUAUGAACCGUUAUAACCGGCGAUUUCCGAAUGGGGAAACCCAGUGUGUUUCGACACACUAUCAUUAACUGAAUCCAUAGGUUAAUGAGGCGAACCGGGGGAACUGAAACAUCUAAGUACCCCGAGGAAAAGAAAUCAACCGAGAUUCCCCCAGUAGCGGCGAGCGAACGGGGAGCAGCCCAGAGCCUGAAUCAGUGUGUGUGUUAGUGGAAGCGUCUGGAAAGGCGCGCGAUACAGGGUGACAGCCCCGUACACAAAAAUGCACAUACUGUGAGCUCGAUGAGUAGGGCGGGACACGUGGUAUCCUGUCUGAAUAUGGGGGGACCAUCCUCCAAGGCUAAAUACUCCUGACUGACCGAUAGUGAACCAGUACCGUGAGGGAAAGGCGAAAAGAACCCCGGCGAGGGGAGUGAAAAAGAACCUGAAACCGUGUACGUACAAGCAGUGGGAGCACGCUUCGGCGUGUGACUGCGUACCUUUUGUAUAAUGGGUCAGCGACUUAUAUUCUGUAGCAAGGUUAACCGAAUAGGGGAGCCGAAGGGAAACCGAGUCUUAACUGGGCGUUAAGUUGCAGGGUAUAGACCCG